This 219-nucleotide ribosomal RNA is filed under the name uncultured bacterium. RNAcentral describes it as "partial 16S ribosomal RNA". It matches the Rfam family "Bacterial small subunit ribosomal RNA", at positions 524 to 742 of the family's 1533-position model. The record is from RNAcentral.
UACAGAGGGUGCGAGCGUUGUCCGGAAUCACUGGGCGUAAAGGGCGCGUAGGCGGCUCGGUAAGCGUGCGGUGAAAGCCCGGGGCUCAACCCCGGGUCGGCCGUGCGAACUGCAGAGCUGGAGCACUGUAGAGGCAGGUGGAAUUCCGGGUGUAGCGGUGGAAUGCGUAGAGAUCCGGAAGAACACCGGUGGCGAAGGCGGUUAGCUGGGCAGUUGCUG